This is a long non-coding RNA of Pan troglodytes (chimpanzee), 1195 nucleotides long. RefSeq lists it as uncharacterized. Lineage: Eukaryota; Metazoa; Chordata; Mammalia; Primates; Hominidae. The record is from RefSeq and is a predicted model, not a curated record. The transcript has 4 exons.
UACGGUCAGUGGGGCGAGCUGCGGGCGCGCGCACGUCUAGAAAGAGAGGCACCGGCGGCGGCGACGGGGCCGCACGGACGCGCACGCAGGCACGCGCAGGUAAAGGGACACAUCACAGUUUUGACUACAGCAGAAUUAAGGAUUCAGAGAAACCACAUCUGCGAGGACAGGACUGGCCGUGUACUUUACAGAUGAGGACACUGAAGUGGGAGGUGCAUGCUUCACCAGGUGGCCGAGCCGGAGGAGCAGCCCGGGAGGUGUGGCAUUUUGAGCUGCCCACCCCACCGCAGAGUUCUCCUCUCCCCACAUUGCUCAGGUGGCCCCGUGCCCAGUCCAGGGAGGAAGCCAGCCACAGUUACCCCAUCCCCCUUUCCCAGUAGGCCUUGUCCCAGCCUCCCUUACACCUAGGGGAGGCAGGAGGCCCUUAGGGGUCUGGAAAAGUCUGUGGAGCAGGAGGGGUGGGGGUGGUUCUUGGAGAAGCUUCUGUGUGCUGACGGAGGGAGAGAGCCACGCUAGGGCAAGGCCUUUCUGGCCACUACUGCCGAGCCCCACCCUGCCUUGAAAUUUGCUCAUGAGGGAGGCCUGUGCCAUCUUGUGACCGCAAACAAGCAGACGGCAAAAGACAAAAGCCAGUCUGCCGGCGAUGGCAGGAGGACGACAGUGAUCGGGCCCACGGUGACAGCGCUUGGGGUCCAUCGGACAUGCCUGUUCGGUGGUGGAGCCGCAGCAGGACACGGCGGAGGUCAGCCUGGGCUUCCCCUCGAUGGCCUUUGGGGACAGAAGGAAGGUGGCAGUGAAGACCCUCAUCAACCAACCCCAAUGCCCCGGUCUAUACCCGCUGCUUUACACACUCAGCUCCAUUUCCUAUCCGUAACCUCCUCGAUAUGGUUUGGCUGUGUCCCCAACCAAAUCUCAUCGUGAAUUGUAGCUCCCAUAAUGUCCACAUGUUGUGGGAGGGACCUGGUGGGAGGUAAUUGAAUCAUGGGGGUGGGUCUUUCCUGUGCUGUUCUUGUGAUAGUGAAUAAGUCUCACGAGACCUGAUGAUUUUGUAAAGGGCAGUUCCCCUGCACACGCUCUCUUGCCUGCCACCAUGUAAGACGUGACUUUGCUCCUCAUUUGCCUUCUGCCAUGAUUGUGAGGCCUCCCUAUCCAGGUGGAACUGUGAGUCCAUUAAACCUUUUUUCUUCAUAAACUA